This 3037-nucleotide long non-coding RNA is filed under the name Manduca sexta (tobacco hornworm). RNAcentral describes it as "uncharacterized LOC119190615". Lineage: Eukaryota; Metazoa; Arthropoda; Insecta; Lepidoptera; Sphingidae. The record is from RNAcentral.
CAUAAAAAUCAAAUUUUUGUUUUUUUUUGCGAUACCGCUUUCGAGCUUACCACGGCAGUGUAUGCGUUCUGAAUUGGCCACUGCACAGCCUUUUAAGUAAAAUAUCGCCCUCUAUUAGUUAUAUUGAGAAAUUUUGAUAAUAAAAUGUCAUUUUGAUUUGUUAUCUAGUGAUGUAUUGAUUUAGUUUUCUAAUAAUCGACUAUUUAGUUACGUAUAUUAGACUGGGUAAUUAAUGAAUUAUAAUUAUAUUUCGGUUCAUUAAAGGAAUUAAUCUCAUAACUAAUAAAUACCAAAACAUUAGUCAACUUGCUAUUCGUGCUUAUAAUAUUAUGUUACUCAGCCGAACUACAAACAAAUUAAGUAACAGCAUAUUACGUCUCAAGGUGAAUUCAUAGCUCUGAAUUAUGUUGCUAGUAUAUUUGGGCAAUGAUAUUGGUGUCGUUUACCAUAAGACAAGCGGCAUGCUCGCCUAGUUAGUAAACUGCAGUAGACAAAACAAAGCUGUAAAAGGCUGUAAUGUGGUCACUUGGUGGCAGGGUCGGGUACGUCUCCAUGCGGCAGCGCGUACGGUAGCGGCCGGCGCAGCGCGCGCACCACCAGCAGGUAGAACUCAGUGGAGGCCCGAACGGGAGCGACGGCCUCUCGGGGAGCUUCGCCCCGGUCCCCGCUGAUAUAUCUUCUCUAAUUGACAAAUACCAGCAAAGGAAAGAACAGGAGCGGCGCGAGUGUACAAUACACGUGUAACAUUAAAUUUGAAUGUACAAGACAUUCGAAUGUGAUCUCAAGACAUUGUUAAUGGGACUUAAUUGGAUGAACUACCAAUCCAUACUAAGUGCGAGGAUUUAUAAUGAUGAAAAAUGAAAUUUUAACAAACUUGUGAUGAUGACAUUGUUAAGUUCACGUAAGAUGUGACAAUGUACUCUAAUAUACGACCAGAAUGCUUUUAAACGAUCGAAUCACUAUUAAUACAUACAAUUAAUGUUACUACCACGACUCUAAAUUACAAAUAUUUUAUGGUAAAGUAAUAACUCAAAACCUAUAUUUUGGAAAACAUAGCUGAUGACUGAUGCUACCUAUAUAAUUGCGAUAUUGUAAAGAAAAGAAGUUGCUCGUUAUACAUUCUCUGAGAAUACGUUCUUAUUUGAAUAUGUACCUUGUUAUAUUCUGUUCUCUUUUUCAUACACGUUGACGUCAAAUGCUUUACGAUAUUUUAUGAAUGGCGUGUUCUUAAAUUAUUCUUUUCUUAUAUGGCAGACCUACCUCGUAUAAGAUUACAUUAAUUUCUGACAGGCUUAUAUAAAACAAAUUGUAUAUUUAACAAUAUUGUAUUUACAAAAGUAAAUACCGUACAUAUUAUUUAACGAAUAAAAUAAAAAAAUAAACAUGAUAAUCUUGCAUGAGAGACUUACCAAAAAAGUGUUUCAAAAAUGCUAAACAAGGCCGGGAGCAGGUUAAAGGACAACGUGUAAGCUUAUCGCAAGUUGUCUAUUUGAAUCCACGGCCAUACAAUUAAUAAAUAAUUUACAGAUAUAUUCGUCGUUAAAAUCUCAUAUUGGUGCUGUGUAUAUUAUGCUUCAUAUUGCGUAUUCACACGCAUUGUUAAUGUUUUAAUAUUGAAAUAUUAAUUUGCACCCGGCCUAAACACUCGCACGUCAUUAAAUACAGCUAAAGCAAUAAUGACGUCCCCUGCAAUGUUAAACAUAAUAUUGUUAAAAUGAGAAAUAUUUAAAGAAUAAUGUGAUUUAUUUAAAAUGCUGUUAAUCUAUGACAUUUUAGAUUUAUAAGAGUUAAAUAAAUUGUACAUAGUAGUUGUUGAUAAGUUAAAUAAAUGUGAAACGGCAUUUAAAAGGAAAGGGUUAAAAAAAUCUGAAGAAUUUGUUCACAUUACAAUGCAAGAUACAUAAAAAAGCAAAAAUGUAUUUGGUGUAAGAUCCAUAAUACACACAGACUUGAUAAUUGAUGAAUUUUAUAUCCGAUUGUUAAUUUUAGUAAUAAAUUUAAAGAUCUCGUAGCUCAAUAUUAUGUGUGUAUCCAACCAAGAACGUGUAUAAUAGUUUUUACAUGAAAUUGGCGAAUGUUUAAUAAUCCAAUUAAGUAGAUUAUAGUUAACAAAUGUCCAAAAUUAUAAACAUGAUAAUUGUAAGUCAGUAGUAAUAUUUUUUUGUCACGUGAUUCGAUGUACCAAUGUCUGUUUUCAUGGAACAUACUCAGAACGCGAUAAUUUUCAAAAUGCUUUUUGUGAUAUAAAUAAAAUAUAAAUGCCGUAACUGCAUAGGAAAACUGCUACAGUACACAAAAGUCACGUACCAAUGUCCAAUAAAAUAUUUUAUUUACACACCUCUCGUGUUGCGUGUAGUAAGCCAAUAUAUUAUGUUUCAUGCAUGUCCAGUAGCUUAAAUAAAAUUAAAUUUAAUGUAUGGCCUAAAAUGCAAUGAAACAAGAGAAGAGAAUAAAUUUUACAAAAUUCGUGGGUUUAAAUUGUGCAUAAUAAUGUGAUCUCAGUAUACUCAAUGAUCAGCAUCCGUUUAUAAUAUGUAGGUAUUUAUUUUACAUUUGGAUAUUUUCAAACACGGUGAAACCUCUUCAACUUUUUACACCACAGUCCGCUUUAAGACGUCCCUAACCAAAUUUUGAUAAAUACUCUUGUUUAAGAAUACAAUGACUUAGGUAACUAUAUUUUUCUGCAUUUGUGAUUCGUUUUUGUAUGACUAUUAAAUUAAGCCUCUGCUAAUGAAAUUAGACGUCUUUUACCUAGCAUCCCUUGUACAGUCAAUAGGUCAAAAGGCACUUCUUAUUUUUAAUUGUAAGCUAGAUAUUAACUAAGUUUAGAUUAAGUGAUGGCUGUUCCAAACCGCAAAUGAUACAUAUCAUUAUAAUAGACUGCCAGUAUAUAAGUAAUUCUUUUUAAUAUUGUUGAUUUAGUCGUUUAGCCAAUAAUUAUACACUAUUGUAUAAAAAUCUUUCUAUAUACAUGUUGUGUAAUAAUAAAAUUAUUAAAUAUUAGCGCAAAAGAUGGAAAAUAAAGAUGUGUGUUGUG